UCUCCCCGGGGGCCUGAGACCAGCGGAAGACGUACUGGCCCGGCCAGGGCCGCUGCCUGAUUGACGAGGCCCGCUUGGGAGAGCGGACGUGCCACGCAGAUUCGAGGAUGGCCCCAGGCCUCCUGAGCAGGGAUCGGCACGGACCCUGGGCCAACGAGGGAGCAGGCCGGAGUACCAUCCCCCUCAACCCUCUUUUUAGAACAUCCUUCAGAGGGCUUCUCUGACCUCGUCUUGAACUCCUUAAGGGCCGGCGAGAUCAUUCCUUCCACCACCGGAGGGAGAAGAGGCAAAAUGAAUUUGCCAGCCCUGAAUUCAUUCUCAAGGCUACGCUAUUCUGACAGCCAGCAAACAGCCUGGAUUCCUGAGAGCUCUGAGGACGGCAGCUCAGUUCCUUUUACAUCUGGAAACUAGAGAGUGACUGAAGAGGACAAGAGGAGCCAAGCUCAGCACACAAAGUGGGCCCAACUCUCUAUAGUAUGGAUCCAGGGGUAAUCUCAGCUCUUCCCAGCUGGGCAAGCAUGGCAUUUGAUGGCAGCAACUUUAAGAAAUCUCACCUCAGCCUUGAGUCUACCCUAGCCUCCUGAGCACCCUGGGCUCCAGUUCUUGAGACACAGACACUUGUUGUCCCUAUUCCAAUUUUGAGAAAUAAUAAGGCAUGUUGGAUCCAUGUGGGCUCUUGGAAGAUGCUGUGACUUAGUAUGUGCCUACUGUGUGCUGGGUAGCAUGAUGAGGGCCUCUGAGGCAUGAGUUCAUUGAAUUCUCACAUUGCCUUGAGUUAGGUGCUGUUAAACUGCACUGUGAGGGUCUUGUCCAAAGUCAGCAUGAGUUGAACUCAGGUCCUCAUUAACAAAGUUUCCUGCUGGUCUCUCAGUCCCAGCUCUACAUCCUCAUCCCUAGACUCUCUGUAUGACCCUGGGCAAGUAGCUAGCCCUCUCUGGGCCUCCGUAAACCAAGAGCAGGGUUUCCUGAUGAUAAUCAGGCCUCUUUGGGGACUGUGUGUUCUGAACCCCCACCUUCAUGGCCUUGGUCUCUGUGGGCCUGGAGGCCUGGGGUGAGGCAGAGAGGAUGGUGCUUUCACUUUGCAGCCACUGGGAGCUGGAAGAUGGAUUCCACUCAGCCCAUGCAGGCCUGUAAAUCACCUGGCUUCACAGGCAGCUUCAGUGGCCAGCAGGACGGUGCAGGCUGCAGGAGGCUGGCCUGUGGGCGCCAGUGUGGGGCCCAGCCCACACCCACCUUCAGAACAGACUUAAGUGCUAUUAAUUUCCUCACCCUCCACCCUCCAGGGAGCCCCCAGCAGGAAAAGAAGCUCAUUGCUUAGGCCUGAGUAAGGGGAGCCGGGAGCCCGGAGGAAGGCAGUGACUUAGGUCUUAUGUAGGGUGUCCUAACUAUGGUCCCCUUGGACAGGGGGCCUUCCAUGGGCUGGGGGUGGGCAAGGGCCUGGCACCAGUGGGGAUGAAUUCCUGCCUCUGCAGGAUUGCCUCCUUUGUCUCCACUCUUCACACCCCCGUCCCUAGAAGGGAGCCAGAGGGCUGAAGGCGCUGGAGGAAAGUCACAGUUAUUGAGUGCUUACUGUUCACGGCACACUCUCAUUACAUCCUUUCCACAAGCCAGAAGGUGUAAUUUGCCUCUGAGGAAAGAGGCUCAGAGAGAUUUAAGUGACCCGCUCAGGACCUCACAGCUACUCAGUUGGUGAGGUCUGAGCUGGGCCUCAGGGUUGAGAAUGGAGACUUGUCUUCAUCUCCUCACCAGGCCCAGGCUAUGGUGCAGACAGGUGCUUUGAGGUGUCACCUGCCGGGUGCUUUGAGGUGGAGUAAAGACUUGCUCACCUGGCAGUCGUGGGGCCCUCCGGGGGUGGUGGAGUAAUGGGGAGGACCUUUCGUCUUCACACCUUGGUUGGAUCCAGGCGGCAUUUGGUCCCUACCCAACUCUGUGCCUCUAAGGCUGGGUGGCAAUCAGGCCUGGCAGAGAGCAGACAUGCACAGAAGGCUCCUCUGGCCUGCCUCCUUUCUGUAUUCCAGUCAGAUGGCCCGCUUCAUUCUCUGAGGCCCUACCUUCCCAGCCUCCAGACCCUGGAUCUCCCAGGCCCUUCCAAAAGGCUUGUUAUCUUCUCAGUUGCCAUUACGGUGUUCUGCCCCGUGGUUCCAAUUCCACCACCAUCCACUUCUUCCCAUCGGGGGCCUCAGAGAAUAAGCUGAGAGCCUCCCUCAGGAGCUGGGACAUCCAGCCCAGCCCAACCCACGCACCCAACCUGCUGCCCAACUUACUUGGUGGCUUGAGCAUGUCAUAGACUCCGUGCCUCUGUUUCCCCAUCUGUCAUCAAGAGAGUGCGCAGCACAUGGAGAACAUUCAGUGGUACUUGUGCCUUGGAGCAUCCUAUAGUUCUGUAGGUCUGAGCCUUCCACUUUAGGGUUUGGGGUGGGGGCGGGGGUGGCUGCCUUGGGGAGUGUGCUCAGUGGCCCCCUUUUGGCGGGUGGGGACAGGCAAAUUUCUGUAUGUGGAGGGAGCUGUCCAGGACUGUGAAUAGGUAACAGCCUUAACACCUCUUUUCACGGGAUACCUCUCACCGUCUCAGCCUCGCAGCGGCCCUGCUAUGGGUGACUAAACUGAGCCUCAGAUGGAGGCGGUGGUUUUCCCAUAGCCACACAGCUGGAAAGUGUCAGAGCUGGGACAGGAACCAGGGCUCCUAAUUCUUCACCUGUACCAGUGCUGCCAGAGUGGGUGAUGGAGGAGCUCGUGUGUCCUGCACUGUAUGGGAACUCUGGGACAACCUACCGGAGGAAAGUCAAACCUCCUACCUCCUUCCUGACAGCUCCAGUGCCCUGAGGGGGCCCUCCUUUCUGGCACUGGAGGGGGUGGGAAAAGAUCUCAGAGCCUCAACCACUGCCCUGCUCACCUGGCUAGCAGUUGCCUGGCAUCUCAUACCCCUUGCUCUGACCCUGUCUUAUAGCCAUGCUGGGUGGCUCCCAGAAUUGUCUGUAUUAUACACAUACUUGGGUGGCUCCCAGAAUUGUCUGUAUUAUACACAUACUCUCCUUCUCCUGCUCUGCCUGCCUCCUGGGACGUACCCCUCCCAGCCUUUCAGGCUACAUCUACAGCCACCUGCUGGAAAGCCUCUUCAGAUAACUCUGGCAGAUCUGCUAUGUAGCUGGUCUCACCCCCAUGUGCUUCUAUGCCCACAGCAUUGUCAUCGUUAUAGAAACGACUUGGCAGUAACUGUCUCUGCUUGCAUCCUUCUGGAAACAGGGAACUUGCUCCCUUACAUAGCAGACAAUGCCCCGUGGUGCGCUGGUAAAUGUUUAACAGCUGGCUCUCCAAGGUCCCUGGGGGGAAGAGGACCGAGAGGCCACUAAUGGACAAGGCAAUCAGAAAAGGCUUCAUGGAAGAGGUGGCAUGUGCCUUGGGCCUUGACGGAUUAAGAAGACUUGGACCAGGAUGGACAAGAUGAACAGCAGGAGCAAAAGUGGAGACGUGGGAGAGAGCCUCCAGAAGCAUUGGUGUCUUAGGUCAUUCAUGAUAUGACCCCUGCACGGACUCCUCAGCCUGACAUAUGCUGCAGGAACUCAGCAAUCAGUGUAAGGCUGGACAUCAGAUCUGAGAGCUCAGUCACCCUGGGAGCUGGCAGCUGGAGCGGUGGGAACUGGGAGAGUGAAUGGGGCCGAGAGCAGCUUCCUGGAGGAAGCAGGAGAAACCUGGAAGAGAGGAAGAUUUUAUCGUAAUGCAGUGAGGAGCCCGAGGGCCUGAGAGGUCAUAUGACUCAAUCAAGGUCAUCCUGCCAGGGCAGAGAUGUGAUGAAGCCCUGUCCUUCAGAACAAUUUUUCCUGGAGCCCUGAGCCACCACGUAGGAAGUAAGAAGAAUCGCUAGCCUGAGGUUGCCAUCUUGUGAGGAAGCCCAAGCUACAUGGAUGGUCUGUGUCUGGGCUCCCUGUCCCAUCUGAGCCCAGAUCCUAGCCUCUCCAGCUGUUUGAGUUUUUCCAGCUGAGGCCUCAGAUAUCAUGGAGCAGGGACAAAUCACUCCUGGUAUGUGCUGUCUGAACCCCUGGCCAGUAAAAUCUCAGGAUAAAUUGUUUUGUGCCACU
This is a non-coding RNA of Odocoileus virginianus texanus, 4076 nucleotides long. Lineage: Eukaryota; Metazoa; Chordata; Mammalia; Artiodactyla; Cervidae. The record is from RefSeq and is a predicted model, not a curated record.